RNAcentral lists this transfer RNA (67 nucleotides) under Marmota monax (woodchuck). RNAcentral's name for it is "tRNA.Ser". Lineage: Eukaryota; Metazoa; Chordata; Mammalia; Rodentia; Sciuridae. The record is from RNAcentral.
GGUACAGCUCAGUUGGUAGAGUGCUUGCCUCGAAUGUAUAAGGCCAUGGGUUCAAUCCCCAGCACCA